GUGUAUGUAUUAAAUCUUCCUCACUCGCUGACUCCGCAGACCGGCUGGCUCCACACUUCCAGCAAUCCUGUGAUGAAGUGGUACACCUGGCAGAGUAAUUUUGAAACACGGGGUUAGCGUAUCUUCCCUUACAGUAUUUACUUCCUCUAAGUUAGUUUAGCUUUUUAAUUUUUAUCUUAUGUGUACGAGUGCUUUGCCUGCAUAUAGGAGUUGUUUACCUCGUGCUCUCGGAAGCCAGAAGAGGGCAUCAGAACCUCCACAACAUGGAUGCUGUGAGAUCCAUCCAGGGUCCUUUAGAAGAGCAGCUGUUGUGUUUUAUAAAAAGUUAAGGAGAGAAGAAAUAAUGUUUGGUGAAUGUACAGUCAGGUGUAGGGGAAUGGGGUUCCUCUGUGGGCCCAAGCUGAGGCAUCCCUUUCCCUUGAAGGACCAGCCACACGACCAGCUUCUUCAUAGUUGGCUAGCUGGUCUAAAGGCUUUCUGUGAGUCUCCUCUGCCUCCCACCUCACUAUAGGAGUUCUAGGACCAUAGACAUGCAUCCGGCUUUAUGCGGGUUCUGGGAAUAGAACUCAGGGCCUCAGGAAUUCCCCUGCAGGUGCUUUACCCCUGACUCACAUUCUGUAGCUCCUCUGAAUCCUGACCCGUAUUACAGUUGAAGUUUGUGAACAGUCCUCCCGGCCCCGUGCGUGCACAGGAGGUCACCCUUCAGGAUGUCCCUGAGUCUCCCAUGUCCUUGGAAGCUGGAAGAAUUUCCCUCCUCCUCAGCCUAUGCACAGCGCUCCGUCCCUUCUCUGUCCUGCUCUAGGAGAAAGACAAUGUGUGGGACUCUGGACUACUUACCCCCCGAAAUGAUAGAGGGGAAAUCCUACAACGAGACGGUGGAUCUGUGGUGCAUUGGGGUGCUCUGCUAUGAGCUGCUGGUGGGAAAGCCGCCCUUCGAGAGCAGCACCUCCAGUGAGACAUGCAGACGCAUCUGCCAG
RNAcentral lists this long non-coding RNA (977 nucleotides) under Rattus norvegicus (Norway rat). RNAcentral describes it as "long non-coding RNA NONRATT002263". Lineage: Eukaryota; Metazoa; Chordata; Mammalia; Rodentia; Muridae. The record is from RNAcentral.